RNAcentral lists this ribosomal RNA (456 nucleotides) under uncultured bacterium. RNAcentral describes it as "partial 16S ribosomal RNA". It matches the Rfam family "Bacterial small subunit ribosomal RNA", at positions 29 to 507 of the family's 1533-position model. The record is from RNAcentral.
AACGAACGCUGGCGGCAGGCUUAACACAUGCAAGUCGAACGCCCCGCCAGGGGAGUGGCAGACGGGUGGGUAACGCGUGGGAACAUACCCUUUUCUACGGAAUAGCUCUGGGAAACUGGAAUUAAUACCGUAUACGCCCUACGGGGGAAAGAUUUAUCGGGGAAGGAUUGGCCCGCGUGGGAUUAGCUAGUUGGUGGGGUAAAGGCCCACCAAGGCGACGAUCCAUAGAUGGUCUGAGAGGAGGAUCAGCCACACGGGAACUGAGACACGGUCCAGACUCCUGCGGGAGGCAGCAGUGGGGAAUAUUGGACAACGGGCGCAAGCCUGAUACAGCAAUACCGCGUGGGUGAAGAAGGCCUUCGGGUUGUAAAGACAUUUUGUUGGGAAAGAAAAGCAGCAGGUUAAUACCCCGCUGUUCUGACGGUACCCAAAGAAUAAGCACCGGCUAACUUCGUG